Molecule: ribosomal RNA, 510 nt
Filed under: uncultured bacterium
Lineage: Bacteria
Description: partial 16S ribosomal RNA
Rfam family: Bacterial small subunit ribosomal RNA
Source: RNAcentral
GACGAACGCUGGCGGCGUGCUUAACACAUGCAAGUCGAACGAAGAGCGAUGGAAGCUUGCUUCUAUCAAUCUUAGUGGCGAACGGGUGAGUAACGCGUAAUCAACCUGCCCUUCAGAGGGGGACAACAGUUGGAAACGACUGCUAAUACCGCAUACGAUCUAAUCUCGGCAUCGAGGAUAGAUGAAAGGUGGCCUCUACAUGUAAGCUAUCACUGAAGGAGGGGAUUGCGUCUGAUUAGCUAGUUGGAGGGGUAACGGCCCACCAAGGCGAUGAUCAGUAGCCGGUCUGGGAGGAGGAACGGCCACAUUGGGACUGAGACACGGCCCAGACUCCUACGGGAGGCAGCAGUGGGGAAUCUUCCGCAAUGGACGAAAGUCUGACGGAGCAACGCCGCGUGAGUGAUGACGGCCUUCGGGUUGUAAAGCUCUGUUAAUCGGGACGAAAGGCCUUCUUGCGAAUAGUGAGAAGGAUUGACGGUACCGGAAUAGAAAGCCACGGCUAACUACGUG